Non-coding RNA from Mycena rosella, 86 nucleotides. The record is from the annotation of a GenBank genome assembly. NCBI's taxonomy places the organism in Eukaryota, Fungi, Basidiomycota, Agaricomycetes, Agaricales, Mycenaceae.
CCGACUUUAGCUCAGUUGGAAGAGCAUCAGACUGUAACGGUUACCUGGAAAUCUGAGGGUCGUCUGUUCGAACCAGACAAGUCGGA